GCAAAUAGAUGAGGGAAUGAAUAUAAAAUUUGUUUUGAUAUUUGCAUAUCUAAGUAGCAGUGAGAAAAUCUGCCUACUUGCUACAGAGCAAUUCAUUAGAGGAUUUGGAAAUUAUAGAAAAGUAUAACAAAAUUUUAAGAAUUGUAUCUCAGUGAUAUUUUGGACAAAUGGACAGAUAGGGAUAAAUAUAUAAUAUACAUGUAAGUAAGCUCUAUACACAAUUCUGUGUCUUAACUUUCACAUAUUAAGAUUAUGGAACCACGGAAAAUGUGCU
Molecule: long non-coding RNA, 274 nt
Filed under: Bos taurus (domestic cattle)
Lineage: Eukaryota; Metazoa; Chordata; Mammalia; Artiodactyla; Bovidae
Description: long non-coding RNA NONBTAT016670
Source: RNAcentral